GAUGAACGCUGGCGGCGUGCCUAAUACAUGCAAGUCGAGCGAACAGACGAGGAGCUUGCUCCUUUGACGUUAGCGGCGGACGGGUGAGUAACACGUGGAUAACCUACCUAUAAGACUGGGAUAACUUCGGGAAACCGGAGCUAAUACCGGAUAAUAUAUUGAACCGCAUGGUUCAAUAGUGAAAGACGGUUUUGCUGUCACUUAUAGAUGGAUCCGCGCCGCAUUAGCUAGUUGGUAAGGUAACGGCUUACCAAGGCAACGAUGCGUAGCCGACCUGAGAGGGUGAUCGGCCACACUGGAACUGAGACACGGUCCAGACUCCUACGGAAGGCAGCAGUAGGGAAUCUUCCGCAAUGGGCGAAAGCCUGACGGAGCAACGCCGCGUGAGUGAUGAAGGUCUUCGGAUCGUAAAACUCUGUUAUUAGGGAAGAACAAAUGUGUAAGUAACUAUGCACGUCUUGACGGUACCUAAUCAGAAAGCCACGGCUAACUACGUG
RNAcentral lists this ribosomal RNA (497 nucleotides) under uncultured bacterium. RNAcentral describes it as "partial 16S ribosomal RNA". It matches the Rfam family "Bacterial small subunit ribosomal RNA", at positions 28 to 507 of the family's 1533-position model. The record is from RNAcentral.